CUUGUAUUCUUUAAAUUUGUUUACUUGAAUUUGUAGGUUGCUCGUCAAAACAUGGACACGAAAAACAAAAGGCUCAGAGAUCUAUCAUAUAUGGCAAAAGAAUGGCUACAAACCAUUUUUGAUUUUAUACGGGUUACAACUUACAAGACCAGACUAAGCUCUGACCGAUCGGUCUUAAUGCGGAAGAUUUUAACAACCUCCUCAAGAUCCUUAGGUGUGCACACAAGUUCAGACAGCUCGAUGAGGGUUUGUGCCAAUCUCUACUAGGGAAGCAAGAACCACUUCAAGCACAUAUAUUCACGAGCCAAGGGGGCGUGACGAUGUCAAAGCAAUCCACGAGCAAUCUCCACCCAAGUUUUUUUCAUUAGGGGUCUUACCUUGGGGAUAGACGAUGGACCCGCCAUUCAUGGAAUCAGCUAGGGUUCUUCCAUUGCAGACCGAUAAUGUUCACAGAUGGAGGGUGAAUUCGGGUAACAAAACCCAACAUUAUUACCCGCUAUCAUGGUAACAAGGCGUAUGUUGGGAUGAGAUAUGAAGAGAUAAGUCAUUUUCUCUCUAAACCAAUCACUCAUAGUAUACCAUGGACGGUAGUAUGGAUAUGAGGGUCGACCCGUUUGGUAAUAUAGUUAACGGCUUAACGGCAACCUGUCUGCUAAUAUAAAUAAAGGGCGCCCUAUUUGGUAAUAUGGGGGUAUAAGAGUGGGCUUAUUUGAUAAUAUGGGUAAGAGUCCUAUCCGUUUGGUAAUAUGAGUAUAAGGGUCGACCCAUUUGGUGAUAUGGUUAAAGGCAACUUGGUUAGUACUUUUUCAUGUUUAAUAGAGGGUUUUUGCAAAUAGCAAUAUUUUAGUAAUUAUUUGUAGUUAAAAACACUAAAUAUUCAAUGGAACUUCCAUAUUUAGAUAA
Molecule: long non-coding RNA, 903 nt
Organism: Erigeron canadensis
Lineage: Eukaryota; Viridiplantae; Streptophyta; Magnoliopsida; Asterales; Asteraceae
Exons: 2
Source: RefSeq, a predicted model, not a curated record